Molecule: ribosomal RNA, 406 nt
Filed under: uncultured bacterium
Lineage: Bacteria
Also listed under: 1 other name
Description: bacterial SSU rRNA
Rfam family: Bacterial small subunit ribosomal RNA
Source: RNAcentral
UGGGGAAUAUUGGGCAAUGGGCGAAAGCCUGACCCAGCGACGCCGCGUGAAGGAAGACGGUCUUCGGAUUGUAAACUUCUUUUAUAUGGGACGAAGAGAUGACGGUACCAUAUGAAUAAGCCACGGCUAACUACGUGCCAGCAGCCGCGGUAAUACGUAGGUGGCGAGCGUUAUCCGGAUUUACUGGGUGUAAAGGGUGUGUAGGCGGGACUGCAAGUCGGAUGUGAAAAUCACAGGCUUAACCUGUGACCUGCAUUCGAAACUGUGGUUCUUGAGGGUCGGAGAGGUAACUGGAAUUCCUGGUGUAGCGGUGAAAUGCGUAGAUAUCAGGAGGAACACCGGUGGCGAAGGCGGGUUACUGGACGAUUACUGACGCUGAGACACGAAAGCGUGGGGAGCAAACAGG